Molecule: ribosomal RNA, 1058 nt
Filed under: Parabacteroides goldsteinii
Lineage: Bacteria; Pseudomonadati; Bacteroidota; Bacteroidia; Bacteroidales; Tannerellaceae
Description: partial 23S ribosomal RNA
Rfam family: Bacterial large subunit ribosomal RNA
Source: RNAcentral
AUAAGAAAGUAAGCAAGGGCAGACGGUGGAUGCCUUGGCUCUCGGAGGCGACGAAGGACGUGAUAAGCUGCGAUAAGCUGGGGGGAGAUGCAAAUAAUCUUUGAUCCUCAGAUUUCCGAAUGGGGCAACCCGGCAGGUUGAAGGCCUGUCAUCCCGUAAGGGAGGCGAACGUGGGGAACUGAAACAUCUAAGUACCCAUAGGAGGAGAAAAUAAGAAUGAUUCCGCAAGUAGUGGCGAGCGAACGCGGAAGAGCCCAAACCGGUAUUGUUUAGGCAAUACCGGGGUUGUAGGACCACGUUGUGGCAAGAACUUAGGAAAGUGGAACACUUUGGAAAAAGUGAUCGUAGAGGGUGAAAAUCCCGUACACGACUUUCUAACGAAGCCUAGUGGUAUCCUGAGUAGCGCGGAGCACGAGAAAUUCUGUGUGAAUUAGCGGGGCCCAUCCCGUAAGGCUAAAUACUCCCGAGAGACCGAUAGCGAACCAGUACCGUGAGGGAAAGGUGAAAAGAACCUCGAACAGAGGAGUGAAAUAGACCCUGAACCCGUCUGCCUACAAGCGGUCGGAGCAACGUAAGUUGUGACGGCGUGCCUUUUGCAUAAUGAACCUACGAGUUACUUUCUCCGGCAAGGUUAAGUAUUUCAGAUACGGAGCCGAAGCGAAAGCGAGUCUGAACAGGGCGACAUAGUCGGAGGGAGUAGACGCGAAACCAAGUGAUCUACCCAUGGUCAGGUUGAAGGUUAGGUAACACUAACUGGAGGACCGAACCGGUAAGCGUUGAAAAGCUUUCGGAUGAACUGUGGGUAGGGGUGAAAGGCUAAUCAAACUUGGAGAUAGCUCGUACUCCCCGAAAUGCAUUUAGGUGCAGCCUUUAUUUAGUAUAGCAUGAGGUAGAGCGACUGAUUGGAUGCGAGGGCUUCACCGCCUAUCAAGUCCAGAUAAACUCCGAAUGCGUGCUAUAUAUUGAUAAGGAGUGAGGGCGCGGGUGCUAAGGUCCGCGUCCGAGAGGAGAAGAAUCCAGACCAUCAGCUAAGGUCCCCAAAUAACAGUUAAGUUGAA